This 1050-nucleotide long non-coding RNA is filed under the name Mytilus galloprovincialis (Mediterranean mussel). Lineage: Eukaryota; Metazoa; Mollusca; Bivalvia; Mytilida; Mytilidae. The record is from RNAcentral.
CAUGGGAAUUUUUCCAUAAUCAAAUAUAUAUAUAUAUUACAUACUUCUAUUGUUAAAGUCAUAAGAAAUAAGUUUUCUGGUUAGGUUAAUGUAAAAGAAAAUAUUGCACCAAUGAAUGCAUACAUGUAUAUACCAUGGUAUACUAUCCAUUUGUAAUUCCUAUAUGCACAUUUUUUACAAUUAUUUUAAAUCCUUAAUUAAUUAAUAUAUAAACAUGACAAAAUAAAAAAAAUCAUUCAGUGAUUGUUGAUAGAAAAACUUGGAUUUUGUGUCUAAGUGAUUGUAUCAUUGCCAUUAUUUGAGGUGAAAGAGUGAUGUAUAUUUGUUUGGAUCAUAUAUGUAUAUUUUUGAUGCAUUUUCAUUUAUUAUUUAAAAUUUGUCACAGUGCUCAGCAAGAUUCCCCUUAUCAUUACAUACAUUUUGAAGAAACCUAAUUAUUUCCUGAUUACCGAAACUCUUGAUUUCAUUUAACAGUAUUUAAGGGGGCUAGUGGGUAUAAAUCCCCUUUUUUUUUCUUUUCUAUAAAUGAAAUUUAUCAUAUACUUAAUAGAAAAAUAAAAUAAAAAUGGGUUCACCGUUUAUUAAAUAGAUAUAGGAAGAUGUGGUGUGAGUGCCCAUAAUCUGCUUUCAAAAGAAUCAUGCAUUUUUGUUAAGGUACUUUUUUCUUAUGAACUAAUAGAAGAAAUAGAGGUAAAUAUUGAUAUAAAACAAAAACUAAAGUACAGAAAGUGCUAAAAUUUUACAAUUUUUUAGUCAUAGCUCAUUUGAAAUAUGACACCGAUGAAUUGAAAAAGAGAUUUCAAUUUUUAUGCAUUUUUGAACCAAAGGGAGAUAAUUUGUAGCUUUUUCAAUGAUAUAAACAUUUUUAAUGUCAUCUGGGACCAAACAGAAUUGAUUUUUUUGGUUUAUUUUCAACCAUACUAUAACCAUGAUAAAUUAACAUUUAAUAGUGAAAUGAAUAAAAUUCGAAAUGAAAAAAAUAUUUAAAAUUUUGAUGAAAUUUUUGUCCCCUCCAGCUUCCUUUAAUAUUUUAAAAACCAUGGUAAUUUU